This 426-nucleotide ribosomal RNA is filed under the name Triticum aestivum (bread wheat). RNAcentral's name for it is "partial small subunit ribosomal RNA". Lineage: Eukaryota; Viridiplantae; Streptophyta; Magnoliopsida; Poales; Poaceae. The record is from RNAcentral.
UCCACUUUUCUGCUAGUUGGAGUGUAUGUGGAUGACCGUGUCAUUACCGGCACGGACAAAGGGCUAAUCAGAGAGUUCAAGGAUCAUAUGAAGAUGCUUUUCAAGAUGAGUGACCUUGGAUUACUAUGCUACUACUUGGGGAUUCAGGUAUCCCAAACAGAGGGUGAAAUCACACUUCAUCAGCGGAGUUAUGCGGAGAAAAUCCUUGAGGUAGCCGGCAUGGAAGAGUGCAACAGUAGCAGCACUCCAAUGGAGUGUCGUUUGAAGCUCAGGAAGGAGGAUGAAGGCGAGCUGUUUGAUCCCAAGCUGUACCGCAGUGUGAUAGGCAAUCUUCGCUAUCUCGUCAACACAAGACCUGACAUCGCACAUGCCGUGGGAAUUGUAAGCAGAUUCAUGGAGACCCCGAGCACUCAUCAUUGGGCAGCC